RNAcentral lists this ribosomal RNA (188 nucleotides) under uncultured bacterium. RNAcentral's name for it is "partial 16S ribosomal RNA". It matches the Rfam family "Bacterial small subunit ribosomal RNA", at positions 521 to 708 of the family's 1533-position model. The record is from RNAcentral.
UAAGACAGAGGGGGCAAGCGUUGCUCGGAAUCACUGGGCGUAAAGGGCGCGUAGGCGGGAUGGCAAGUCGGUCGUGAAAUCCCUCGGCUCAACCGAGGAACGUCGGCCGAUACUGCCGUUCUUGAGGGAUGCAGAGGAGACUGGAAUUCCCGGUGUAGCGGUGAAAUGUGUAGAGAUCGGGAGGAACA